RNAcentral lists this ribosomal RNA (450 nucleotides) under Triticum aestivum (bread wheat). RNAcentral describes it as "partial small subunit ribosomal RNA". The record is from RNAcentral. Lineage: Eukaryota; Viridiplantae; Streptophyta; Magnoliopsida; Poales; Poaceae.
AUGGGUAUUAUUAGUUCGGACAAAAUACUCACAACCGUACUUUGUAGUGUUACUGCUGUUUGUACCGAGCCACUGAUUGAUGUUUCAUUUCAAGUCCUCGAGGUGGCGGUCAAUAGCAUCUUCAGCUUCUUGCAGGCUCUUGAACGGCCCAUCCAGACCAGGAUACGCGUGGAAAGAACCCAAAAGGUCCGUCCUAAUGUAAAAGGUGAAGUACCAAAAGUUACGUUUUAUGACCAAGAAGCUAUUGGAUGUGGAUAUGGCAAGGGAUUGGCAGUGGGAGAUGGUUCCUGCAGUUUUGUAGUGAGCAGGAACUUGCUCAAGGACAAGACAUCCGGUUGUUGCGUCGUCUGCACGGGUGGAGGAGAAGGAGAACACCUGAAUCAAGUACAACAGUUGAGCAUGCUCGAAGGCUCGCUGGAAGAUUUUUACCGGCCGAGAACGGUGCCCUGA